GAUGAACGCUGGCGGCGUGCCUAAUACAUGCAAGUCGAGCGAACAGACGAGGAGCUUGCUCCUCUGACGUUAGCGGCGGACGGGUGAGUAACACGUGGAUAACCUACCUAUAAGACUGGGAUAACUUCGGGAAACCGGAGCUAAUACCGGACAAUAUAUUGAACCGCAUGGUUCAAUAGUGAAAGACGGUUUUGCUGUCACUUAUAGAUGGAUCCGCGCCGCAUUAGCUAGUUGGUAAGGUAACGGCUUACUAAGGCAACGAUGCGUAGCCGACCUGAGAGGGUGAUCGGCCACACUGGAACUGAGACACGGUCCAGACUCCUACGGGAGGCAGCAGUAGGGAAUCUUCCGCAAAGGGCGAAAGCCUGACGGAGCAACGCCGCGUGAGUGAUGAAGGUCUUCGGAUCGUAAAACUCUGUUAUUAGGGAAGAACAAAUGUGUAAGUAACUAUGCACGUCUUGACGGUACCUAAUCAGAAAGCCACGGCUAACUACGUG
RNAcentral lists this ribosomal RNA (497 nucleotides) under uncultured bacterium. RNAcentral's name for it is "partial 16S ribosomal RNA". It matches the Rfam family "Bacterial small subunit ribosomal RNA", at positions 28 to 507 of the family's 1533-position model. The record is from RNAcentral.